Molecule: ribosomal RNA, 440 nt
Filed under: uncultured bacterium
Lineage: Bacteria
Description: partial 16S ribosomal RNA
Rfam family: Bacterial small subunit ribosomal RNA
Source: RNAcentral
CCUACGGGAGGCAGCAGUGGGGGAUAUUGCACAAUGGGGGAAACCCUGAUGCAGCGACGCCGCGUGGGUGAAGAAGCGCCUCGGCGCGUAAAGCCCUGUCAGCAGGGAAGAAAAUGACGGUACCUGAAGAAGAAGCCCCGGCUAACUACGUGCCAACAGCCGCGGUAAUACGUAGGGGGCAAGCGGUAUCCGGAUUUACUGGGUGUAAAGGGGGCGCAGACGGCGAUGCAAGCCAGGAGUGAAAGCCCGGGGCCCAACCCCGGGACUGCUCUUGGAACUGCGUGGCUAGAGUGCAGGAGGGGCAGGCGGAAUUCCUGGUGUAGCGGUGAAAUGCGUAGAUAUCAGGAGGAACACCGGUGGCGAAGGCGGCCUGCUGGACUGCAACUGACGUUGAGGCCCGAAAGCGUGGGGAGCAAACAGGAUUAGAUACCCCAGUAGUC